RNAcentral lists this ribosomal RNA (443 nucleotides) under uncultured bacterium. RNAcentral's name for it is "partial 16S ribosomal RNA". It matches the Rfam family "Bacterial small subunit ribosomal RNA", at positions 338 to 795 of the family's 1533-position model. The record is from RNAcentral.
CCUACGGGUGGCUGCAGUAGGGAAUAUUGCGCAAUGGGGGAAACCCUGACGCAGCGACGCCGCGUGAGUGAUGAAGGCCUUCGGGUCGUAAAGCUCUGUCGUAUGGGACUAACAAAAUGAAGGUACCAUGCAAGAAAGGAUCGGCUAACUUCGUGCCAGCAGCCGCGGUAAGACGAGGGAUCCUAGCGUUGUUCGGAAUCAUUGGGCGUAAAGCGGGUGUAGGCGGGCCUAUAAGUCAGGUGUGAAAUCCCAGGGCUCAACCCUGGAAGUGCACUUGAGACUGUAAGUCUUGAAUGUGGUAGAGGUUACUGGAAUUGCUGGUGUAGUGGUGAAAUACGUAGAUAUCAGCAGGAACACCGGUGGCGAAGGCGGGUAACUGGACCAACAUUGACGCUGAGAUCCGAAAGCGUGGGGAUCAAACAGGAUUAGAUACCCCUGUAGUC